Molecule: ribosomal RNA, 332 nt
Filed under: uncultured bacterium
Lineage: Bacteria
Description: bacterial SSU rRNA
Rfam family: Bacterial small subunit ribosomal RNA
Source: RNAcentral
UGUGUAGGAGGCCAGGUAAGUCAGGUGUGAAAUCUCUCAGCUUAACUGAGAAACUGCGCUUGAUACUGCUUGGCUAGAGGAUCGGAGGGGGUAUCGGAAUUUAUGGUGUAGCAGUGAAAUGCGUAGAUAUCAUAAGGAACACCGGUGGCGAAGGCGGAUACCUGGAAGAUUCCUGACUCUGAAACACGAAAGCCAGGGGAGCAAACGGGAUUAGAUACCCCGGUAGUCCUGGCCGUAAACGGUGUGCAUUGGGCGUAUGCGGAUUCGACCCCGUAUGUGUCGUAGAUAACUCAUUAAAUGCACCGCCUGGGAAGUACGGUCGCAAGAUUAAA